GAUGAACGCUGGCGGCGUGCUUAACACAUGCAAGUCGAACGGAAAGGCCCAAGCUUGCUUGGGUACUCGAGUGGCGAACGGGUGAGUAACACGUGGGUGAUCUGCCCUGCACUUCGGGAUAAGCCUGGGAAACUGGGUCUAAUACCGGAUAGGACCACAUUUUGGAUGGUGUGGUGGAAAGUUUUUCGGUGUGGGAUGAGCUCGCGGCCUAUCAGCUUGUUGGUGGGGUAAUGGCCUACCAAGGCGUCGACGGGUAGCCGGCCUGAGAGGGUGUACGGCCACAUUGGGACUGAGAUACGGCCCAGACUCCGACGGGAGGCAGCAGGGGGGAAGAUUGCACAAUGGGCGCAAGCCUGAUGCAGCGACGCCGCGUGGGGGAUGACGGCCUUCGGGUUGUAAACUCCUUUCGCUAGGGACGAAGCGUUAUGUGACGGUACCUGGAGAAGAAGCACCGGCUAACUACGUG
This 466-nucleotide ribosomal RNA is filed under the name uncultured bacterium. RNAcentral describes it as "partial 16S ribosomal RNA". It matches the Rfam family "Bacterial small subunit ribosomal RNA", at positions 28 to 507 of the family's 1533-position model. The record is from RNAcentral.